GGAGGAAAAGAAACCAACAGGGAUUGCCUCAGUAACGGCGAGUGAAGCGGCAAGAGCUCAACUUUGGAAUCGCUCCGGCGAGUUGUAGUCUGGAGGUGGCCACCACGAGGUGUUCUAGCAGCAGGCAAGUCCUUUGGAACAAGGCGCCAGCGAGGGUGACAGCCCCGUACCUGCUUUUGCUAGUGCUUCCUGUGGCCCACCGACGAGUCGAGUUGUUUGGGAAUGCAGCUCUAAGUGGGUGGUAAAUUCCAUCUAAGGCUAAAUAUUGGCGAGAGACCGAUAGCGAACAAGUACAGUGAUGGAAAGAUGAAAAGCACUUUGAAAAGAGAGUGAAACAGUACGUGAAAUUGUUGAAAGGGAAGGGCUUGCACCCAGACACGGUUUCGGCCGGGCCAGCAUCAAGUAGAACGGGGUUAAAAGACCUGGGGAAUGUAGCUACCUCUUGGUAGUGUUAUAGCCCUUGGGUGAUGACCCCUGUUUUGCUUGAGGACAGCGGUCUCUAGGAUGCUGGCGCAAUGGUUGCAAGCCACCCGUCUUGAA
RNAcentral lists this ribosomal RNA (540 nucleotides) under Candidozyma auris. RNAcentral describes it as "partial large subunit ribosomal RNA". It matches the Rfam family "Eukaryotic large subunit ribosomal RNA", at positions 52 to 658 of the family's 3401-position model. The record is from RNAcentral. Lineage: Eukaryota; Fungi; Ascomycota; Pichiomycetes; Serinales; Metschnikowiaceae.